Long non-coding RNA from Drosophila yakuba, 1658 nucleotides. RefSeq lists it as uncharacterized. NCBI's taxonomy places the organism in Eukaryota, Metazoa, Arthropoda, Insecta, Diptera, Drosophilidae. The record is from RefSeq and is a predicted model, not a curated record. The transcript has 2 exons.
GUUGUGGUCUGCCUCAUUAUUUGUAUCUGGUCAAGGGAAAGCGGUGGAAAAGCGGGUAAAAAGCGAGCCCCAAAGCAGAUACCACUCCCCUCUUAAAAAAUCCCAGCUCCAUCCCCUUUAAUUGUGGUUCAUUUUCCGAGUCUUUUGAGUUUCGGGUCCUUUGGGCUUCUAGCACAUUUCCUACAUUUUCCUACAUUUAACCACAAUAUUUUUGUGGAAUUGCUCGCAAAUUGUUUAUUGCUGACCUCAAAGCUAUUCGGGGAUUAUGGCCAACAGAAACAAGGUGUUGGCCAUCAUUUGCCCUAUUUUCUGACCCCCAAGCUGGCUUUGGAUUAAUUUAAAUGGCACUUAGUGAGUGAUAUUAGAGCAGAGUUUAUGGCGCUAACUUGUUGCUCUUGUCGAAAAUGGGACUACCCCGAUUACAUUUUAUCUUUCAGUUAAUUAAUCGAUCGUUUUAAUUAUGGGACUAAAAGAAAAUAUUAAGCUUACACUUACUUACUUGCCAAUCAUUUUGAUGAAACACAAAAUUUGAAAAAUUCCCAUUUCUGAUUUAUAUACAUAUCUAUGUACAUAUGUGAUUUGGGAGUUCAUCGGUAUCUAUUGAGGACAGAAUAUAAGCUUGCUCCUAAAUUCACCAAAAGCUAAGUGCAAUUCAAGCGUAAAGAGCUCCUUUAUUUGUUUCAUGCGUUUGCUGAAGGAUAUAUCAACCAUUUUUUGAUGUCAUCCGCGGCCUCAUCAACUUAAUCAUUGAAGAAGAAGGAGCAAUUUGCCUUGCACAGAUCCUUCGUCCUUUCGCGCAGCGUCCUGCCUAAAACUGAAAAAGCGGAGAAAAGAGCAGAGCGCAGCACAAAAAAAAAAAAAGAAAAAGAAGGAGGGAAAAUAAAUAAUGUGAGAAGAGGAAACAUUCAGCUUCGUUGACGGCGACCCAUUGACCAAGUUAAAAAGGCAAGAGCUAUACGGCAUACACUCGUAUGGGGAUAUGGCCACACAUGUAUGAGUUAUGCAAAUCAUAUAUGUAUAUAUAUAUAUAUAUAUCAUAUAUAUGAUAUAUAUUUUCCUCUUGCUGCGGAGGCACUUCAAAUGCGGCUUGGGGCCGCGGAAUCAAGCGCCAAGAGACCUCAUAAAAACGACUAACGCGACUGGCUCACACAGAUACGCACUCACACUGGCGCACAUAUUGAGUUGUGGCUUAAUGCCACACAGAGACACACACACAAGCACACCGACACACACACAUAGGGGUUCAAAAUUUGGCAGAAGGAGCGCAAAAACCAAAACAGAAAUAUUUCGCUCCACUUUUUUGUACGAGUUUUUUUUUUUUUUUUUUAAUAUUUUCUUCCCACAAAAUUUGUGUCAUGCCAUGUGCUCGGGAUUGCAUAACCCCCUUUGCAGGAGGCCUGCAGCCCCUUUCACCACGCCCCUGUCAGCCGCAGCUUCAUUUGGCAACAGAAAUAUUUCGCAGAUUAAACAGGGAAUUGAAACUAGACGAGGAGUCGGAACAGCAGCCGUAACUGUGAAUUAAGUAAUGUUAAAUCGCCGAAAUGAAUUAUGUAAUUAAAUGUGGAAGGGGUAAUUCUAAAAAAUAAGCUUAAAAUACAUCGAAUAAUUUCAUUCAACGAGAACAGCAAGAAUAAAGGCAGAAAUACGAAAAAAUUAAA